RNAcentral lists this transfer RNA (78 nucleotides) under Pseudomonadota bacterium. Its description in RNAcentral is "tRNA-Glu". It matches the Rfam family "tRNA". From Rfam's summary of the family: Transfer RNA (tRNA) molecules are approximately 80 nucleotides in length. Their secondary structure includes four short double-helical elements and three loops (D, anti-codon, and T loops). RNAcentral also lists the same sequence under 1 other name. The record is from RNAcentral. Lineage: Bacteria; Pseudomonadati; Pseudomonadota.
GGCCCUAUCGUCUAGCCAGGUCCAGGACGGGGGAUUCUCAGUCCUCAAACCCGGGUUCAAAUCCCGGUAGGGCCACCA